RNAcentral lists this ribosomal RNA (303 nucleotides) under uncultured bacterium. Its description in RNAcentral is "partial 16S ribosomal RNA". It matches the Rfam family "Bacterial small subunit ribosomal RNA", at positions 507 to 807 of the family's 1533-position model. The record is from RNAcentral.
AGCAGUAGCCGCGGUAAUACGGAGGGAGCUAGCGUUGUUCGGAAUUACUGGGCGUAAAGCGCACGUAGGCGGCUUUGUAAGUCAGAGGUGAAAGCCUGGAGCUCAACUCCAGAACUGCCUUUGAGACUGCAGAGCUAGAACGUCGGAGAGGUGAGUGGAAUUCCGAGUGUAGAGGUGAAAUUCGUAGAUAUUCGGAAGAACACCAGUGGCGAAGGCGGCUCACUGGACGACUGUUGACGCUGAGGUGCGAAAGCGUGGGGAGCAAACAGGAUUAGAUACCCGCGUAGUCCCUGUCUCUUAUAC